GAAGGAUAUGAUGAUUGAACUUUCUUUGUUCCCUAUUGGUUUGAUAGCCGAUAUGAUGGCAUCUUACGUAUUAGCUCUAUCUGAUCCUUC
Molecule: non-coding RNA, 90 nt
Organism: Brassica napus (rape)
Lineage: Eukaryota; Viridiplantae; Streptophyta; Magnoliopsida; Brassicales; Brassicaceae
Source: Rfam